RNAcentral lists this ribosomal RNA (403 nucleotides) under uncultured bacterium. RNAcentral describes it as "partial 16S ribosomal RNA". It matches the Rfam family "Bacterial small subunit ribosomal RNA", at positions 30 to 526 of the family's 1533-position model. The record is from RNAcentral.
AUUGAACGCUGGCGGCAGGCCUAACACAUGCAAGUCGAGCGAGAGGCGGACGGGUGAGUAAUGUAUGGGGACUGCCCGAUAGAGGGGGAUAACUACUGGAAACGGUGGCUAAUACCGCAUACUAUCGGAUGAAACAUAUGGGAUUAGCUAGUAGGUGGGGUAAAGGCUCACCUAGGCGACGAUCUCUAGCUGGUCUGAGAGGAGGAGCAUCCCCACUGGGACUGAGACACGGCCCAGCCUCCUACGGAGGCAGCAGUGGGGAAUAUUGCACAAUGGGCGCAAUCCUGAUGCAGCCAUGCCGCGUGUAUGAAGAAGGCCUUAGGGUUGUAAAGUACUUUCGGCGGGGAGGCGUUACCCGCAGAAGAAGCACCGGCUAACUCCGUGCCAGCAGCCGCGGUAAUAC